GACGAACGCGGCGGCGUGCUUAACACAUGCAAGUCGAACGAAAAGAGGGAAAGAGCUUGCUCUUUCCGGAAUUGAGUGGCAAACGGGUGAGUAACACGUAAACAACCUGCCUUCAGGAUGGGGACAACAGACGGAAACGACUGCUAAUACCGAAUAAGUUCCAAGAGCCGCAUGGCCCAUGGAAGAAAAGGUGGCCUCUACCUGUAAGCUAUCGCCUGAAGAGGGGUUUGCGUCUGAUUAGCUGGUUGGAGGGGUAACGGCCCACCAAGGCGAUGAUCAGUAGCCGGUCUGAGAGGAUGAACGGCCACACUGGAACUGAGACACGGUCCAGACUCCUACGGGAGGCAGCAGUGGGGAAUCUUCCGCAAUGGGCGAAAGCCUGACGGAGCAACGCCGCGUGAGUGAUGACGGCCUUCGGGUUGUAAAACUCUGUGAUCCGGGACGAAAAGGCAGAGUGCGAAGAACAAACUGCAUUGAC
Molecule: ribosomal RNA, 478 nt
Filed under: Dialister invisus
Lineage: Bacteria; Bacillati; Bacillota; Negativicutes; Veillonellales; Veillonellaceae
Description: bacterial SSU rRNA
Rfam family: Bacterial small subunit ribosomal RNA
Source: RNAcentral